Molecule: ribosomal RNA, 512 nt
Filed under: uncultured Ralstonia sp.
Lineage: Bacteria; Pseudomonadati; Pseudomonadota; Betaproteobacteria; Burkholderiales; Burkholderiaceae
Description: bacterial SSU rRNA
Rfam family: Bacterial small subunit ribosomal RNA
Source: RNAcentral
AUGGGGGCAACCCUGAUCCAGCAAUGCCGCGUGUGUGAAGAAGGCCUUCGGGUUGUAAAGCACUUUUGUCCGGGAAGAAAUCGCACCUGAUAAUACCGGGUGUGGAUGACGGUACCGGAAGAAUAAGGACCGGCUAACUACGUGCCAGCAGCCGCGGUAAUACGUAGGGUCCAAGCGUUAAUCGGAAUUACUGGGCGUAAAGCGUGCGCAGGCGGUUGUGCAAGACCGAUGUGAAAUCCCCGGGCUUAACCUGGGAAUUGCAUUGGUGACUGCACGGCUAGAGUGUGUCAGAGGGGGGUAGAAUUCCACGUGUAGCAGUGAAAUGCGUAGAGAUGUGGAGGAAUACCGAUGGCGAAGGCAGCCCCCUGGGAUAACACUGACGCUCAUGCACGAAAGCGUGGGGAGCAAACAGGAUUAGAUACCCUGGUAGUCCACGCCCUAAACGAUGUCAACUAGUUGUUGGGGAUUCAUUUCCUUAGUAACGUAGCUAACGCGUGAAGUUGACCGCCUGG